Molecule: ribosomal RNA, 587 nt
Filed under: Streptomyces sp. YIM 68222
Lineage: Bacteria; Bacillati; Actinomycetota; Actinomycetes; Kitasatosporales; Streptomycetaceae
Description: bacterial SSU rRNA
Rfam family: Bacterial small subunit ribosomal RNA
Source: RNAcentral
UUAGUGGCGAACGGGUGAGUAACACGUGGGCAAUCUGCCCUGCACUCUGGGACAAGCCCUGGAAACGGGGUCUAAUACCGGAUAUGACCGUCCAUCGCAUGGUGGAUGGUGUAAAGCUCCGGCGGUGCAGGAUGAGCCCGCGGCCUAUCAGCUAGUUGGUGAGGUAGUGGCUCACCAAGGCGACGACGGGUAGCCGGCCUGAGAGGGCGACCGGCCACACUGGGACUGAGACACGGCCCAGACUCCUACGGGAGGCAGCAGUGGGGAAUAUUGCACAAUGGGCGAAAGCCUGAUGCAGCGACGCCGCGUGAGGGAUGACGGCCUUCGGGUUGUAAACCUCUUUCAGCAGGGAAGAAGCGAAAGUGACGGUACCUGCAGAAGAAGCGCCGGCUAACUACGUGCCAGCAGCCGCGGUAAUACGUAGGGCGCAAGCGUUGUCCGGAAUUAUUGGGCGUAAAGAGCUCGUAGGCGGCUUGUCACGUCGGUUGUGAAAGCCCGGGGCUUAACCCCGGGUCUGCAGUCGAUACGGGCAGGCUAGAGUUCGGUAGGGGAGAUCGGAAUUCCUGGUGUAGCGGUGAAAUGCGCAG